UAGGGAAUAUUGCGCAAUGGGGGAAACCCUGACGCAGCAACGCCGCGUGAGUGAGGAAGGCCUUCGGGUCGUAAAGCUCUGUUCUUGGGGAAAAAUGGUUAGGGAGCUAAUACCCCCUGAUUUGAUGGUACCCAAGUAGAAAGCACCGGCUAACUUCGUGCCAGCAGCCGCGGUAAUACGAAGGGUGCAAGCGUUGUUCGGAUUUAUUGGGCGUAAAGCGCGCGCAGGCGGAUCAGCAAGUCAGAUGUGAAAUCUUAGGGCUCAACCCUGAAACUGCGUCUGAAACUGCUAGUCUAGAGUGUUGGAGGGGACAGGGGAAUUUCACGUGUAGGGGUAAAAUCCGUAGAGAUGUGAAGGAACACCGGAGGCGAAGGCGCCUGUCUAGACAACUACUGACGCUGAGGCGCGAAAGCGUGGGGAGCAAACAGG
This 429-nucleotide ribosomal RNA is filed under the name uncultured bacterium. Its description in RNAcentral is "bacterial SSU rRNA". It matches the Rfam family "Bacterial small subunit ribosomal RNA", at positions 355 to 776 of the family's 1533-position model. The record is from RNAcentral.